GGGGUCGACCGGAAUUGACAGGAUGGACGAUAAGUGUGUAAGCAUGCAGUGAAUUGAGAAUGCAUCACUAUAAUCAGGAUUCUCAAACAACAAAAGGCGAAAAUAAUUACGCUCUUGCUGCUUAAUCUUAAAUGAUUUAAGAUUUGCCCUAGUCUCGCUAAAGUAGCGGAAGCAGGAUGUUCCCCAGAGGUUCUAGCCAACGACAUCUGAUAUGGGAGCACCGAAAAGUUGGAAUAAGGAUACAAAUGUUUCGAUAGUAUCCCGACAAUUUUAGAAACUAAGACUAAUGCAGGCUGUUUGUGGCCAUCUUUAGUUCGAAAACCAAACACAAAAUAAGCAUGUAGAAAGCGCAACUGAUCCCAUGUUUGGACGAGGGUUCGAAUCCCUCCGACUCCACCA
This 399-nucleotide transfer-messenger RNA is filed under the name Sphingobacteriaceae. Its description in RNAcentral is "Pelobium saltans Standard tmRNA". It matches the Rfam family "transfer-messenger RNA". From Rfam's summary of the family: Bacterial tmRNA, also known as 10Sa RNA or SsrA, is named for its dual tRNA and mRNA-like properties. Its role is to liberate the mRNA from a stalled ribosome. The record is from RNAcentral. RNAcentral also lists the same sequence under 1 other name. Lineage: Bacteria; Pseudomonadati; Bacteroidota; Sphingobacteriia; Sphingobacteriales.